UACGGAGGGUGCGAGCGUUGUCCGGAAUCACUGGGCGUAAAGGGCGCGUAGGUGGCGUCGCAAGUCAACGGUGAAAGCUCGGCGCUCAACGCCGAGUCGGCCGUCGAGACUGCGAGGCUGGAGCACUGUAGAGGCAGAUGGAAUUCAUGGUGUAGCAGUGAAAUGCGUAGAGAUCAUGAGGAAGACCAGUGGCGAAGGCGGGUCUCUGGACAGUUCCUGACACUGAGACACGAAGGCCAGGGGAGCAAACGGG
Molecule: ribosomal RNA, 253 nt
Filed under: uncultured bacterium
Lineage: Bacteria
Description: partial 16S ribosomal RNA
Rfam family: Bacterial small subunit ribosomal RNA
Source: RNAcentral